GGCUUUGCGCCCGGCCGACCUACGGGGCUCAGCGGCCCGACUCCUACUCUCAGCGCGCGCUAACUUGGUGCUGAGUCUCCUGGCCGGCCCUGGGCUCGGUGCAGCGGUCACCCGCCUGGCGGCCAGACCUUCGCGCACUUCGUGCUCCAACGCGGUCUCGCCAGAGUAGACACCUAUUCCUCCUCCCUUACCCUCCUCCUCCCCCCACCCCCCCGCCUACCGGGGCCCGGGGAGCGUGCGCGCGCCUGCGUCUUAGGCUCAGGGCGGGGGGGGGGGCACGCGUCGCGUGUGCGUGCGUGAGACCCCAACGUGAGGCGAGGGCGAGGGGGCGGUGACCCGGGCACCAAUGAGCGCCCUACGGCAAGCCCCAGGUGGAGCGACUACAGGUCCCGACAGGCUAUUUUCCCGGAAGCUCCUUUUGAAAAGCUUGAGGUAGACGCGGAGAGAUGCAUGCCGGGAGUUGUAGUUUCUGCGUGCGGUAGUUAAGCUCUUCCCGUGGUUUUCGGUGGGUGGCCGGGAAGGGCGACUCGGCUGGCUCCCGGGGGAGUGUUAAUAGUGACUUGGCCGCCAGUUCCAUCCUCAGGGAUUCCACGUCUUAGUUCCUUUUCCUCCCCUUAACCUUAGUUUCUUCGCUUGUAACGUGGAAGCGCUGUUUCCCACAGUUCCCAAAGCAACGGCAGCUGGGCCAUGACAGCUCGCUCUGCUCGCUCUUUCAGGCCGAGUGGUGAUAAAGUUUUCAGCUGUUGCUAGUAUCCGCAUGCUGCCUUGUGAGUGGUCUCCUAGAUCUGAUCACACCGUAGUGAGUAGUCCCUUCAUUACAGCCUGUUCCGCUGGGCCUGCUUUCCUCUGGCCAGCUGGAGCUGACCGGUCAGCUGCACACAGUGGACAACGGUGGCAAAUCAGGCAGACCCUUCUCCCACUUGGACUGGCGCCAGACUGGAUGGGCAGUCCUCAGCUGAGGUGCUUGGUUCAUCUGCAGGGGAUGUUGGUGACCAGUGACUGUUAACUACGGCUGAUUUUAAUUCUAUACACCUAAAGGAAAAGCAUGAUGGGUAAGAGGUAACAUUCUCCAUUCAUGGCUAUAUACAACCCUGUCUUCACUCCCUGGAUGGCAACGAUGCACAGUCCCACGGGGAUGAGGUUAAACACUGUGGAAUUGGUGCUGUCAUCCUUGGUUCCAUCAAGAGCUCCAUCGGGGUACAUUUGCAAGUAGUAGCCUUGCCUGCAAUGUAACCUGGCCACUAGGCCCUUGAGCUGGGGAUCUCAGAUCUGGAAAUACGGGGCAACAUCUCUCCACCUAUGAAUUAUGAACACACCCCCACAGCAACACAGCUCCAUCUUCUCUGCCAGCCUUGCUGACUGAUGGUGUAUUACAUCUUGAAGCUAGAGCCAGGCAAUAGUGUUGCUAUUUUCUUUUUUUUUUUUUUUUCUUUAAGAUUUAUUUAUUUUCAUGCCAGCGCUGUGUCGUAGCAGGUAAGGCCACCACCUGCAGGGCCGACAUCCCAUUUGGGCGCCAGUUCUAAUCUUGGCUGCUCUACUUCCAAUCCAGCUCUCUGCUGGCCUGGGAAAGCAGUAGAAGAUGGUCUUCGGAGCCCUGCACCCGCAUGAGAAGACCCAGAGGAAGCUCCUGGCUCCUGGAUUUGGAUCAGAUCAGCUCCUGCCAUUGCAGCCAACUGGGGAGUGAACAAGCGGGUAGAAGAUGUCAGCCAGCGCUCGCUAGCUCUCUCUCUCUUUCUCUCUCUCUCUCAAUGCCUCUCUUCUCUCUGUGUAACUCUGACUUUCAAAUAAACUAAAAAAAUAUUUAUUUAUUUAUUUGAAG
This 1819-nucleotide long non-coding RNA is filed under the name Oryctolagus cuniculus (rabbit). Its description in RNAcentral is "lncRNA (ENSOCUG00000032133.1)". Lineage: Eukaryota; Metazoa; Chordata; Mammalia; Lagomorpha; Leporidae. The record is from RNAcentral.